GCGAUACAGGGUGACAGCCCCGUACACAAAAAUGCACAUGCUGUGAGCUCGAUGAGUAGGGCGGGACACGUGGUAUCCUGUCUGAAUAUGGGGGGACCAUCCUCCAAGGCUAAAUACUCCUGACUGACCGAUAGUGAACCAGUACCGUGAGGGAAAGGCGAAAAGAACCCCGGCGAGGGGAGUGAAAAAGAACCUGAAACCGUGUACGUACAAGCAGUGGGAGCACGCUUAGGCGUGUGACUGCGUACCUUUUGUAUAAUGGGUCAGCGACUUAUAUUCUGUAGCAAGGUUAACCGAAUAGGGGAGCCGAAGGGAAACCGAGUCUUAACUGGGCGUUAAGUUGCAGGGUAUAGACCCGAAACCCGGUGAUCUAGCCAUGGGCAGGUUGAAGGUUGGGUAACACUAACUGGAGGACCGAACCGACUAAUGUUGAAAAAUUAGCGGAUGACUUGUGGCUGGGGGUGAAAGGCCAAUCAAACCGGGAGAUAGCUGGUUCUCCCCGAAAGCUAUUUAGGUAGCGCCUCGUGAAUUCAUCUCCGGGGGUAGAGCACUGUUUCGGCAAGGGGGUCAUCCCGACUUACCAACCCGAUGCAAACUGCGAAUACCGGAGAAUGUUAUCACGGGAGACACACGGCGGGUGCUAACGUCCGUCGUGAAGAGGGAAACAACCCAGACCGCCAGCUAAGGUCCCAAAGUCAUGGUUAAGUGGGAAACGAUGUGGGAAGGCCCAGACAGCCAGGAUGUUGGCUUAGAAGCAGCCAUCAUUUAAAGAAAGCGUAAUAGCUCACUGGUCGAGUCGGCCUGCGCGGAAGAUGUAACGGGGCUAAACCAUGCACCGAAGCUGCGGCAGCGACGCUGAUGCGUUGUUGGGUAGGGGAGCGUUCUGUAAGCCUGCGAAGGUGUGCUGUGAGGCAUGCUGGAGGUAUCAGAAGUGCGAAUGCUGACAUAAGUAACGAUAAAGCGGGUGAAAAGCCCGCUCGCCGGAAGACCAAGGGUUCCUGUCCAACGUUAAUCGGGGCAGGGUGAGUCGACCCCUAAGGCGAGGCCGAAAGGCGUAGUCGAUGGGAAACAGGUUAAUAUUCCUGUACUUGGUGUUACUGCGAAGGGGGGACGGAGAAGGCUAUGUUGGCCGGGCGACGGUUGUCCCGGUUUAAGCGUGUAGGCUGGUUUUCCAGGCAAAUCCGGAAAAUCAAGGCUGAGGCGUGAUGACGAGGCACUACGGUGCUGAAGCAACAAAUGCCCUGCUUCCAGGAAAAGCCUCUAAGCAUCAGGUAACAUCAAAUCGUACCCCAAACCGACACAGGUGGUCAGGUAGAGAAUACCAAGGCGCUUGAGAGAACUCGGGUGAAGGAACUAGGCAAAAUGGUGCCGUAACUUCGGGAGAAGGCACGCUGAUAUGUAGGUGAAGUCCCUCGCGGAUGGAGCUGAAAUCAGUCGAAGAUACCAGCUGGCUGCAACUGUUUAUUAAAAACACAGCACUGUGCAAACACGAAAGUGGACGUAUACGGUGUGACGCCUGCCCGGUGCCGGAAGGUUAAUUGAUGGGGUCAGCGCAAGCGAAGCUCUUGAUCGAAGCCCCGGUAAACGGCGGCCGUAACUAUAACGGUCCUAAGGUAGCGAAAUUCCUUGUCGGGUAAGUUCCGACCUGCACGAAUGGCGUAAUGAUGGCCAGGCUGUCUCCACCCGAGACUCAGUGAAAUUGAACUCGCUGUGAAGAUGCAGUGUACCCGCGGCAAGACGGAAAGACCCCGUGAACCUUUACUAUAGCUUGACACUGAACAUUGAGCCUUGAUGUGUAGGAUAGGUGGGAGGCUUUGAAGUGUGGACGCCAGUCUGCAUGGAGCCGACCUUGAAAUACCACCCUUUAAUGUUUGAUGU
Molecule: ribosomal RNA, 1878 nt
Filed under: Escherichia coli
Lineage: Bacteria; Pseudomonadati; Pseudomonadota; Gammaproteobacteria; Enterobacterales; Enterobacteriaceae
Description: partial 23S ribosomal RNA
Rfam family: Bacterial large subunit ribosomal RNA
Source: RNAcentral